GAUGAACGCUAGCUACAGGCUUAACACAUGCAAGUCGAGGGGCAUCAUGGCGGUCGCUUGCGACCGCUGAUGGCGACCGGCGCACGGGUGCGUAACGCGUAUCGAACCUGCCGCAUACCCGGGGAUAGCCUUGCGAAAGCAAGAUUAAUACCCGAUGUUCUCACUGUUCCGCAUGUUACGGUGAGCAAAGAAUUUCGGUAUGCGAUGGCGAUGCGUCCCAUUAGCUAGUUGGCGGGGUAACGGCCCACCAAGGCUCCGAUGGGUAGGGGUUCUGAGAGGAAGGUCCCCCACAUUGGAACUGAGACACGGUCCAA
This 314-nucleotide ribosomal RNA is filed under the name uncultured bacterium. RNAcentral describes it as "bacterial SSU rRNA". It matches the Rfam family "Bacterial small subunit ribosomal RNA", at positions 28 to 334 of the family's 1533-position model. The record is from RNAcentral.